Molecule: ribosomal RNA, 441 nt
Filed under: uncultured bacterium
Lineage: Bacteria
Description: partial 16S ribosomal RNA
Rfam family: Bacterial small subunit ribosomal RNA
Source: RNAcentral
CCUACGGGGGGCAGCAGUGGGGUAUCUUGCACAAUGGGGGGAACCCUGAUGCAGCGACGCCGCGUGGGUGAAGGAGUGUUUCGGCGCGUAAAGCCCUAUCUUCCUUUCCUCCUUCUUCCCUUCCCUUCCUCCGCCGCCCCGGCUCCCUCCGUGCCCGCCGCCGCGGGCCUACGUCGGGGGCCCGCGUUCUCCUGCUUUCCUGUGGGUACGGGUGGCACAGCCGUCAGCGCCAGCCCUGAGUGACCGCCCGGGGCCCCACCCCGGGCCUGCUCUUGGAACUGCGCGGCUGGAGUGCAGGAGGGGCAGGCGGAAUUCCUGGUGUAGCGGUGAAAUGCGUAGAUAUCAGGAGGAACACCGGGGGCGAAGGCGGCCUGCUGGACUGCGACUGACGUGGAGGCCCGAAAGCGUGGGGAGCAAACAGGAUGAGAGACCCCGGUAGUC